RNAcentral lists this ribosomal RNA (253 nucleotides) under uncultured bacterium. RNAcentral's name for it is "partial 16S ribosomal RNA". It matches the Rfam family "Bacterial small subunit ribosomal RNA", at positions 524 to 776 of the family's 1533-position model. The record is from RNAcentral.
UACGGAGGGUGCAAGCGUUAUCCGGAAUUACUGGGUUUAAAGGGUGCGUAGGCGGCUUGAUAAGUCAGAGGUGAAAGCCUAUCGCUUAACGAUAGAAUUGCCUUUGAUACUGUAAAGCUUGAAAGGGGUUGAGGUCAGCAGAAUGUGGCAUGUAGCGGUGAAAUGCAUAGAUAUGCCAUAGAACACCGAUUGCGAAGGCAGCUGGCUGGGCCUACUUUGACGCUGAGGCACGACAGCGUGGGGAGCUAACAGG